This 250-nucleotide ribosomal RNA is filed under the name uncultured Labilithrix sp. RNAcentral's name for it is "partial 16S ribosomal RNA". It matches the Rfam family "Bacterial small subunit ribosomal RNA", at positions 524 to 773 of the family's 1533-position model. Lineage: Bacteria; Pseudomonadati; Myxococcota; Polyangiales; Labilitrichaceae. The record is from RNAcentral.
GACAGAGGGUGCAAACGUUGUUCGGAAUUACUGGGCGUAAAGCGUGUGUAGGCGGCCAUGUAAGUUGGAUGUGAAAGCCCCGGGCUCAACCCGGGAAGUGCAUUCAAAACUGCGUGGCUUGAGUACUGGAGAGGUUGGUAGAAUUCUCGGUGUAGAGGUGAAAUUCGUAGAUAUCGAGAGGAAUACCGGUGGCGAAGGCGGCCAACUGGACAGAUACUGACGCUGAGACACGAAAGCGUGGGGAGCAAAC